This 613-nucleotide ribosomal RNA is filed under the name Rhodococcus sp. So3Pw_2958. Its description in RNAcentral is "bacterial SSU rRNA". It matches the Rfam family "Bacterial small subunit ribosomal RNA", at positions 395 to 1017 of the family's 1533-position model. Lineage: Bacteria; Bacillati; Actinomycetota; Actinomycetes; Mycobacteriales; Nocardiaceae. The record is from RNAcentral.
CGCCGCGUGAGGGAUGACGGCCUUCGGGUUGUAAACCUCUUUCAGCAGGGACGAAGCGAGAGUGACGGUACCUGCAGAAGAAGCACCGGCCAACUACAUGCCAGCAGCCGCGGUAAUACGUAGGGUGCAAGCGUUGUCCGGAAUUACUGGGCGUAAAGAGCUCGUAGGCGGUUUGUCGCGUCGUCUGUGAAAACUCGAGGCUCAACCUCGAGCUUGCAGGCGAUACGGGCAGACUUGAGUACUGCAGGGGAGACUGGAAUUCCUGGUGUAGCGGUGAAAUGCGCAGAUAUCAGGAGGAACACCGGUGGCGAAGGCGGGUCUCUGGGCAGUAACUGACGCUGAGGAGCGAAAGCGUGGGUAGCGAACAGGAUUAGAUACCCUGGUAGUCCACGCCGUAAACGGUGGGCGCUAGGUGUGGGUUUCCUUCCACGGGAUCCGUGCCGUAUCUAACGCAUUAAGCGCCCCGCCUGGGGAGUACGGCCGCAAGGCUAAAACUCACAGGAAUUGACGGGGGCCCGCACAAGCGGCGGACCAUGUGGAUUAAUUCAAUGCAACGCGAAGAACCUUACCUGGGUUUGACAUAUACCGGAAAGCCGUAUAGAUACAGCCCCCC